Molecule: ribosomal RNA, 869 nt
Filed under: fungal sp. mh4260.3
Lineage: Eukaryota; Fungi
Description: eukaryotic LSU rRNA
Rfam family: Eukaryotic large subunit ribosomal RNA
Source: RNAcentral
ACCCGCUGAACUUAAGCAUAUCAAUAAGCGGAGGAAAAGAAACCAACAGGGAUUGCCUUAGUAACGGCGAGUGAAGCGGCAACAGCUCAAAUUUGAAAUCUGGCUCUUUCAGGGUCCGAGUUGUAAUUUGUAGAAGAUGCUUUGGGUGUAGCUCCGGUCUAAGUUCCUUGGAACAGGACGUCAUAGAGGGUGAGAAUCCCGUACGUGACUGGGUGCUUUCGCUCGUGUAAAGCUCUUUCGACGAGUCGAGUUGUUUGGGAAUGCAGCUCAAAAUGGGUGGUAAAUUUCAUCUAAAGCUAAAUAUUGGCCAGAGACCGAUAGCGCACAAGUAGAGUGAUCGAAAGAUGAAAAGCACUUUGGAAAGAGAGUUAAACAGUACGUGAAAUUGUUGAAAGGGAAGCGCUUGCAACCAGACUUGCGCGCUGUUGAUCAUCCGAGCUUCUGCCCGGUGCACUCAGCAGCGUUCAGGCCAGCAUCGGUUUUGGUGGGCGGAUAAAGGCCUUGGGAAUGUAGCUUCUUUCGGGGAGUGUUAUAGCCCUCGGUGCAAUGCGCCCUACCGGGACCGAGGACCGCGCUUCGGCUAGGAUGCUGGCGUAAUGGUUGUAAGCGACCCGUCUUGAAACACGGACCAAGGAGUCUAACAUCUAUGCGAGUGUUUGGGUGUCAAACCCAUACGCGUAAUGAAAGUGAACGGAGGUGAGAACCCUUAAGGGUGCAUCAUCGACCGAUCCUGAUGUCUUCGGAUGGAUUUGAGUAAGAGCAUAGCUGUUGGGACCCGAAAGAUGGUGAACUAUGCCUGAAUAGGGUGAAGCCAGAGGAAACUCUGGUGGAGGCUCGCAGCGGUUCUGACGUGCAAAUCGAUCGUCAAA